Long non-coding RNA from Podarcis raffonei (Aeolian wall lizard), 561 nucleotides. RefSeq lists it as uncharacterized. The record is from RefSeq and is a predicted model, not a curated record. NCBI's taxonomy places the organism in Eukaryota, Metazoa, Chordata, Lepidosauria, Squamata, Lacertidae. The transcript has 4 exons.
CCCACCCCGCCCGGCUCUCUCCCGCCUCCUCAGGAAACCGUUUCCUUUUUCUCUUUCCUUUUUUUUUUAACCCCCCCUCAGCCCCAAAGCGGAGGCAGCCAGCUAUAACAACCGCCCCCCCCACGCUCCUCCUCUCAGAGUCCAGAAGCCGGCCCCUUACGCCGAUUCCGUAGCGUAGCGACUCACCGAGAAGCGAAGAGCCCGCCCUGCGGAAGCAGCGCCGAAAGCCGUCGUGAAUACGAAGGUUUGCAAGUCACAGGGGAAAUGCAAGCCCUAAUGAAGAGCUGUGGACAGUGCCAGAGCAACCUGGAAAACAGACAGGACUUGGGGGCGGGGACCAAUGGAAGCCAAGAAAUCCAGAGGCUGUCCAGUUAAGGACAAAGAACCAAAAAGGGGGAGAACCAGGGAGGAGGAGGACUGAAGUUGCCCAUCAGCCAUGAGCACCUGGACAGCAGGAAAGUGGUACCCAGAGUUUCCCGCAGACCCUCCCACAGUACCUCAUCUCUGGAGACGGAGCUGAUUUCUGCAGCCAGAGAUUCAGAGAAGGAAGCAGAGAAGAGG